Molecule: non-coding RNA, 300 nt
Organism: Meleagris gallopavo (turkey)
Lineage: Eukaryota; Metazoa; Chordata; Aves; Galliformes; Phasianidae
Source: RefSeq, a predicted model, not a curated record
CUGCAGCCCGGCGCCGCAGAACUGCUGAAGCUGGAGUGCAGCUUUGGGGACGCGCAGCUGUGCCGGGCCACCAACCUGAGCUGCGCUUUGCCCUUACCGGAGUACUGCGCUCCGCACGGCCGCCUCAACCUCACCUCCCACCUGCGCUGCCAGCAGGGCCUCCGACGGCUGCAGCCCCGCAUCUGUGCAUCGUAUGGAAUUCCCCCUCAGGAUGACGCCGUGGGCACCAAAACACUCAGCGUGGAGGCGGUCGACUCCAUCAGCGUGGCGGUGCACGCAGCGCCGGGCGGUAUGGAUACG